Molecule: unclassified non-coding RNA, 2931 nt
Filed under: Hevea brasiliensis (rubber tree)
Lineage: Eukaryota; Viridiplantae; Streptophyta; Magnoliopsida; Malpighiales; Euphorbiaceae
Source: RNAcentral
AAAAAAAAAAAAAAAAAAAAGUAGGCAAGGAGUUUGAAGCAUUAGUAUUUCUUUGAUAGAAAUCUAGAGAAUGGUUAAAACUGAAAAUAAAUUAUGAAAACAACUAAAAAUUGAAGGAAACACCAUUUUGUUAUCAUUAGACUUUUUAAUAAGACAAAAAGGGGGUUUCUUGGGGAUCUUUCAAUGGUCUAUAAUAUUCAAGCAUGGCUGUUAUAUUUUUUUAUCUAGUUAUGAGAGUUACAUUGCUUGUGAUAAUUCUUAUUGUAACAUACAUAAGCUAGAGUUUUGUUUUUUCUUGUAUUAUGUCUUGAAUUGAAUCUUUGAAAAAGCAAUAGGAGGAUUCAUUGUCAUGCUAAUAUAGUUUUGUGUGUGAUCUUUCAUGAACUCUAGUUAUGACAAAUAGAUGUACCAAAAUUUUGUUCAAAAAUUAAAUUUGAAUAAAGCAACUCUAGCACUCAUGGUGAUACUAAUGGAUUUUCUAUGUUGUAUUUGACAAAGUCUAGAUACAAGAUCUAGGUAUUAAAACUCUAUUCAACAUUUGAGCUAUAAACUUUUGAUCUAUAACCUAUCUAAAAUCUGACCUAAAAAGUCAGUUUUCCAAACAUUGAAAAAUAGAACUGAAAAAGAAUGGUCUCAUGUAUGUACCAUUGGACAAAACUAGAUCAACCACCCAAAUUCUCAAUUUUCUUUUUCUGAUGUCUGUCUAAGUCAUUCAUGUGGAAUCCCUAGCCCUAAUUUUGUUUUUCUUUUUGGCCUUUUAGCAGCAUUUUGUUUUUAUUAGGUUUUGAGAACCCCUGAAAAGUGUUUUUCACUAAUAUCUUAUGCUACUUUAUGGAGUUAUUCAAUUUCUAUAUCCACAAUAUCUCAAAAUUUCUUCCUUUUUUUUUUAUAAAUAUUUCCUUUAUUGGGAAAGAACAAAUUAAUUAUGUUAUACUUUUUGGUUUUUUUUUAGGGUAAAAAGUUGAACUUAACAUCAGCAAAGUGUAAACUAGCUAGGACUAAAAUCAUAAAUCUUUUUAUGUAGUGUAGUCUACACAGGUGCAAAUGAUUUGCAGCUAAAAGUAUUUUUUCAUUUUUCAACCCAAUUUAUUGGAAGCCCUUAAUUUUAAGCAUCAUCAAUUGUGUUUGGCACUUGCACACCAGUGAUGGCAUGCUUUUUAUUUCGGACUCAAGUCCAUGUAACUUCAACCUCUAUCAUUUUUUGCCAGUAUGAGUUCUGAUUUUUACUUUGAAUUAUGAACUUCUGCAGACAAUUCAUAAACAAUAAUUACGUGCAUCAAGCAUUUGAACGAUAAAUAUUAUAACAAUUUAUACCUUAUGUUCAUUUGAGCUACUCCAUAGUGUUGAGUUUGAAUUAAUGCUCCAUAUGUUGUUGAAGUGUCAAAAAAAAAAAAAAAAUUGAUGCUACAGCAUGUAGGUCUUUCUACAAAAAAAAAAAAAAAAAUGCAUGCAAAUAAUUAAGAUUUGCUAACAGUGGACUAAUUAACAAUAGUUACAUGUAUUAUGAGUCCUAUAAAAACUAAUGCAACCCGUGGUUUUGGAGAUAAAUUCAUUAUCAAGGCCAUCACUUACAUCAGAUUUUGAACCAAUAUUUUUCUUCCUUACACUUCAGUUCACAUGGAUUGAAUUCUAACUCAGCACAAGAGAUUAGCACAACCAAGAACAUUAGGGAUGAUAUUGUUACAGUGUUGAUUCUUAAAGUGCUGAUUGCAUUAAAUUGUUGUUCAUAAACAGCAUUAUAUAAGUGUAUAAAGAUAAGAAAAUAUAGAAUAAAGCUUUUUCUGCUGCAUGAAGAUUCAAAACAUUGACCUUUAAACUUUGAUAUAAAUCUCUCAUUAUAUUGUUAUCCAUAUAUGCGCAUUUUUUGCAUAGCUUAUUGGCCUCCCAUUGUCCUUAGCUAACUAUAUGCUUCUACAUGUGCACUCAUUUUUGUCUGAAUGUGCAUGCACAUUGGCCUAUAUACAUAUAUGUGCUCACACUUUGUUGUUACAUGUAAGUGUAUUGGCACAAUAAUUUGUAUUAUUAAGUAUAACUAGUCUAAUGGUGAUUCCAUAUUUGCUGGUUUGGCAUUUCAUGAUAACAUAGCAAGUUGGUUACAUAUUAUUUUUUAAGCCAUAAAUUUGCCCAGCUUUUCAUUCGCGAUAAUACUUGAUUUUAAUUGCUAGAAUUAGCAUAUUUAGUAUUGAUGCUGCCAGUGAUUCUCGGGUUGGCGAAUAUACUUGAGGUGGCUUGCAAGCAAGAAGAGAAGUGAGGUCGGUAACCUAAAUGUGGCCGUUCUGACUCUUAAGCGAGUGAUUGCUUAAGACCUCAGAAUAAUGACUGACAGAGAAUGAGAAAAAUGAAUUGCAUACCUUGAUAGGUGUUCAGGACCUAUUUAUAAGGCAAAGAAAAGUGCCUUUGCGCAAUCUAUGGGAUGUUGCUAAUUCAUAUCCAGCUGUACCCUUCCAUAUGUUACGGAAAUGCAACAUACUACACCAACGAUAUUCUCGGCAUCAAUCUAGAUUCCGAUGGCCUUUGUCAAAACUCUGAGUUAAAUUUAUUCGAACUCAAUUCGAACUAGAUUUCUCACAGUGUUGUCCGCACUUCUUAUGUUCGGUGUUUUUCGCACUCCUUGCGUUCGGUCUGCUCAAGUAAUAGAUCCAAACCUCUUAUGAUUGGAUCAGAUCUAGGGGAUCCAAAUCCUUUAAAAUUGAUUCGGAUUUUGGGCUGUACUAUAUCAAGUAUUUAUCAAUAUUUAUUUAUUUUUUUUCACCAUCAUCCAUUUUGGUGGUUCUUAGACUAAUAGUAUAGUUUCUAUAUGGAAUAAGGUUCAAAUUGCCCCUGUACUUGUUGGGGAGGUCUCACUGUACUUGUUGGAGAGGUUCAAUUUAGCCCAUUUUAAACUUUUGGUCCAAUUUAACCCAUAAGUUUUUAUUUAUGCUCAAAUUAGUC